CUACGUGCCAGCAGCCGCGGUAAUACGUAGGGUGCGAGCGUUAAUCGGAAUUACUGGGCGUAAAGCGGGCGCAGACGGUUACUUAAGCAGGAUGUGAAAUCCCCGGGCUCAACCUGGGAACUGCGUUCUGAACUGGGUGACUAGAGUGUGUCAGAGGGAGGUAGAAUUCCACGUGUAGCAGUGAAAUGCGUAGAGAUGUGGAGGAAUACCGAUGGCGAAGGCAGCCUCCUGGGAUAACACUGACGUUCAUGCUCGAAAGCGUGGGUAGCAAACAGGAUUAGAUACCCUGGUAGUCCACGCCCUAAACGAUGUCAAUUAGCUGUUGGGCAACUUGAUUGCUUAGUAGCGUAGCUAACGCGUGAAAUUGACCGCCUGGGGAGUACGACCGCAAGGUUGAAACUCAAAGGAAUUGACGGGGGCCCGCACAAGCGGUGGAGCAUGUGGUUUAAUUCGAAGCAACGCGAAGAACCUUACCAGGUCUUGACAUCCCUCUGACCACUCUAGAGAUAGAGUUUUCUUCGGGACAGAGG
This 530-nucleotide ribosomal RNA is filed under the name uncultured bacterium. Its description in RNAcentral is "bacterial SSU rRNA". It matches the Rfam family "Bacterial small subunit ribosomal RNA", at positions 501 to 1032 of the family's 1533-position model. The record is from RNAcentral.